This is a long non-coding RNA of Acipenser ruthenus (sterlet), 1552 nucleotides long. RefSeq lists it as uncharacterized. The transcript has 5 exons. The record is from RefSeq and is a predicted model, not a curated record. NCBI's taxonomy places the organism in Eukaryota, Metazoa, Chordata, Actinopteri, Acipenseriformes, Acipenseridae.
UUUCCACACAAAAUUGUUAGCAAUAAAUCAAAGCUGUCAAGUUGUAGCCGCCGCUUGACAUCAGCUGUCCGGAGGUUAACAGAAAGUUUAUUGGUUCCUAAUGUUUAAGCAUGUAUAAACCUAAUCUAAAACCAUGACAGUUGAAUCAGAUAGCAAUCCGUUCCCAGGUUCCCAGGUUUUCGGUAUUUAUGUGUUUUCUAUAGUUUUGUGCGUCUGGAAAUAACUUUCUCAGUGGCUCCUAAUUUUACCAUAUUUAGGCAGAGUAACUAAAAUCCACUCCCACAUAUGUCUUUGUGCUAUAUAACUUUCUGUUUCAUAAUUCUAGCAGCUGUAUCAUUUGGGGGCAAAGGUAGCUUAAGUUUCUCUUUAUAGUUGCACAGUUACAUCAUCUGUAAAAAGUAGUAUAAAUAUAGAACUGAAAACAAAAUGUUGGUCUGUAGUCCAUUAAAGAAGGGCUGUUUCAGUGACAUAAAUCUGUCACACAGAUAAAAACUGUAGAUUGAGGUAGGUAUGUGUUAAGAUAAGAUUAGUAAAUUAAGAUACAUUGCUAGCAAUUGGUUUAUACCUUAAUAUCAAUUCAUCACAAUAGGCUACUGUUUCCAAUUUUGUUCUGCUUCCAUAUUAGAUCUAUCUUUUUAUGUUAUUUACCCAGGAUAACAGAGCUGAGAAGCAACAUCAGUUCUCCAAUGGGGAAGGCAUUGAUACCCAAGGAAGCACUCUUCACCAUCUGUUGAAGCCUGUCUCGUGCAGUUUAAUGUCCCGAAAUUAAUUCAGUUUAAUGAUGAGAGGACUGAAGCACAGUUCUUAUCGAAGAUGGAAAGGGUCAGGAGCAGCAUGUAGUGUUUCUUUGCACUCUUUCUGCCAUGUAGGUUCAACCUUCAGAUACCUUAUUACUCUCAAAUUCAAAGGGUUCAAGGGAUCAUAACCAAGGCUUUAGAAUAAGAGCUACUUGGACAAGCAAUGGACUGGCUACAGCAGUGCAAAUCACAGAAACCUUCAACCCUGAACACCACCAGCUUCCACUUGAACUCUGUGUCAGGAGCUGCAUGGGCCUGCCAGCCAAUAAGGACAAUCCCCAAUUAUUUGUCACUGUACAAGUCUCUUAGGCUACCAUUGCCCAGCAGUCCAGGACUGUUGCUUUCCUAUUAAUUGAAGAUCACUUGGUAACACACACUUCCAGAUGGUGGUCUUCAUGCUUAACAGCAUUGAAGGCAGUUUCUAGAAGAUAUACUGAGCAUCAAAAGAAACGUAUCACUUAUAUUUGAGCACCCAAGACGGCGAGCCACAGUACGCUGCCCUAGUCCAGCCUCCGACAUGCCGAUUGCACGAAGGUGCUGCUCUCUUGACAGAUGUGGCAUAUUGGUUUUUUUCUGUGAUUUUCUUUAUUGCUUUUAUUCAAGCUUGCAAUUCAACAGCUGAAAUCACUCCAUAUCCAGUGUCCAAUCAACUGUCUCAUUAAUUAGGUGAUUAAGUGCAUAUGCGUCAGUACUAGUCACUCAAGGCGUGUCAUGGUCAAGAAUGAAUGAUCGAGUGAUUAAAAAGAAACCAAAAA